Molecule: long non-coding RNA, 17416 nt
Filed under: Setaria viridis
Lineage: Eukaryota; Viridiplantae; Streptophyta; Magnoliopsida; Poales; Poaceae
Description: long non-coding RNA (SVIR_LNC000844)
Source: RNAcentral
GUUUUUUUUUGUCACACUGGGCAUUGCGUCGCAGCGGCAAUGAACAAUAGGGUACUUAUGUAAAGAUAAACCUUCAAUUUUGCCACAUCAUAUGACAUAUGGGGUGAAUGCAGGGAGGAAAAUGUGCUUACAUUUAUAGUAACAAUGUGUGGUUAAACUUCUUUAAGCACCCAUCACUACAUUGUAGAGAAGAGUUAUUCUAUGGAUGCUUAAUAGCGAUAUGUAUAUAUGCCCACUAUAAUUUAUUUUUUCAUUUUUAAAAACAUAGUACAUGCAUAGAUGCUCACAUAGUCACAUGCACGGGUACACUUAUACCUUCUUUUAGAAUGUUAUACCUAUUAGCAUUUAUAGUUAGAAGAUUAGACUAAUGGGUCUUGAGAUUGACAAAGUCAUCAAAAGCACAUUACCAUUGACACGCACAUCAUACACUACAUAAUAAAUGUGUGCAUCACUGAGAUAUAUCAAAUCCGGGUUAUGAUUCUGAUAGGCAGGGAAGCACCCCUACUAACUACCAAGACAAUGCUUAACUAGUGCUCAAAUUCAGACCAUCUAAGCAAACAAAAAUAGAUGUGCUUAUAGGGAGAAAAAGGUGCUUCAAUUACAUUAGUAACACCGUGAACUUGUUCAAGAACCCACUCCAUUGCAUUGAGAGUAGAGUUAUUCUAAGAGUGCUUAAGGGCAUGUACAAUGGUCAUCUGCAGGUCGUCUUUUUUUAUCCAUGCUGGCACUUUCAUCUAACGUGUACAACACUUAAUGAAGGGAGAGCAGCGCGGACUGCAGCUUGCUUGUCCCCUUUCCAUGUCCCCAUUCGUGUCCCCCAACACGUGGAAGCCAUCUAUUGGCCCCCAUCUAGGGACUGGGUCCUAUUUUUUUUCAAUUAAGGCGUCAACAAGCCCGCACCGAGAAAACGGAGACAUCUCAUCAGUUCCGUCCUAUCAAUGUUUAGAUCCAGCAACCUACCGAGGAGGUACUUGAGGUAGUUUUUUUAUGCGUGGGACUAGCCGAGAUCAGGAACUCGAAGGUGAACUCGAACACAUGAUUUAGACAGGUUCGGACCGCUUGUGUCGCAUAAUACCCUACGUUCUAUGUGUUGAUUGUGUUGUAUUGAUUGAACUUAUUUGGAGGAGGUGUCUACCUCGCCUUAUAUUGCCGAGGGUAGGAUUACAGGUCGGUUGUUUACAAGAAUACUAGUCAGAUUCGACUAAAGAGUCAUACUCUAAUUGCUACGAGUAGUUUUCUAAUCCUCGACUAGUUCUUAUCCUCCACAUAGACCACGUGAUCCUACACCGUAGUCUCCAUGUCUGACACGUCUCGGUGUACAACCCCGUAUGUAGGACUGUCCAACCUUCUGAUGGGCCCAUAAAUGUAUGGACGACAAGCCUUCGAGUACGUUUUAGUCAAAUGUAGCAGUCCCGAUUAGUUUUGUAGGCUUCUCCGACUAGCUUGUGGUAAUCUUCGAGUACUCCAAUGGAUCUCAGUCUUCAAAUGUACUCGAGUACUGCCAUGCGGCUAGAAUGUGCUCAAAUCUUAUUUAACUUGGUCUUGAAUCUUCAAUCUUGAAUUUUAUAUGGAAGUGCGAUGAAAAUCGCACUCCAUAUGGAGUAGCCCCCCGAGCCUUAGGUUGAAUCGAAGAAUCAGGUCGAGGGUCAAUCUUGUAAUUUCACCUCUCUUUUUCCUUUAAAUCCAAAGAAAAAACUUUUUAUCCAAUGGGCACAUGGCACGCAGCCCCCGAGUCGUUACAUGACUAGUUUGGUUUUGGUUAUAAGGGUCAACGACUAGUCAACAUGACCAUUCGCCAAUAGUAACCUUAUCUUCUUCUGAUAAUUUUGGAAACUGCUGACCGUUGCAUAAUCUUCGGACAUUUUAAAAAUAGAAUAUUCCCGUUAAUCUCGCCACUAUUUUAACUGUGGCGCGGUUAUAAAUAAUAAAGGAAAUCAUACCUUCCGUUUUCACCCAAGCCAUUCUGCCUGUUCAUCUUCCUCAUUGUAGCCCUAACGCCGCCGCUCGCUGAUCCCUUGAGCUUGAGUGCCACCGACUCCCCCAUUUUAACCCCAAGCAUAUGCGCAGGAAGACCCUUGUGGCAGCACAAAUGGGAAAGAAGGCAACUUCUAGCAAGGUGGUGGAGAGCCAAAAGAGGAAGGCCGCAAAGAAAGAACUUCAACUGCCGUUGCUGAAGUACGGCAAGAUGGACCAGACCGUUCCGCCAACGCAAGCAUGCGCCUGGAAGAAAUUCAUGAUGAAGGAGGCGGACAUUCAGGCAUUGGUGGAUGCUAAUCUGCUCCGAGACCAAGAGUCCAUCAACUAGAGAGAAGCCCGCGGCAAUCCCUAGCUGAUGGAAAACUACACUCACGAGACGGUGAUCUUCACACACUUCAUCGAACGAGGUUUGGCUUUGCCCACAUCUGAAUUCUUCCGCGGACUGCUGAAUUACUACAAGAUAGAAUUAGUGCAUCUCAACCCAAAUUCUAUCCUACAUAUUGCCAUCUUCGUGCAUCUGUGCAAAGCUUUCCUUGGAAUUCAGCCACAUUUUCAACUCUUCUGCAAAUUCUUUAGAGUUAAGCCUCAGCCUCAGUUAGACCAUACAGAAGUAGUUGGAGGGGCAGGCAUUCAACUGCAGGAGAAAGUGAAAAGCUUGUACUUGGAUUAUGAGCUGAUCGAUUCUCAUUCUGGCUGGAAGGACAAGUGGUUUUAUAUUGGUAAUCAUGAGCCCCGACUACCUAAGGAGACAAGCCACCGCCCAAUUUGGAAUAACCAGUGGUUGGACAAGCCUUCCUACUCAGACAGCUUUCAACUACCCAAGCUUCUGGAGAAGAUCGCCGUACUCAAAUGGAAGGGGCUGACAGGAGUAGGCGUAGCCUUCAACUUCAUGAGGAGGCGAGUCCAACCCCUGCAAUUGCGCUGCACUUGGGGGUAUGACUACUCGGGCCCCAAUGACCCAUCCCAGAUGACAUCAAACGACUUGUCCGUGGAUGAGGUUAUGGCGUGAUUGAGGUGCCUCUUCAAACACGCGAGAGCAAUCCCGAUCAUCGUGCAAGAACACUGCGCUGCCAACCCACCAAGCAGUGUAAGUACCCAUAGCAUCAGCCCCCAAGUACCAAUUUUGUACUUGUCAUUUUACUGACUUGUCUUUUCAUGCAGGAAGAGAUUCACUUGUAUUGCUCCAUCCUCCUCCACCCAGCUCGGAUGGCUCUGAUGCCGCUCCUCGAGUGCACACGGCUACCGAAGCUCAGAAGGUAGUCGAGGAGGAGGAGGAGGAGGAGGAGGAGGGGUUUUCUUCUUUCAGCAGCUUUGAUUCAGAGUUUGCUGAAAAAUUUGUCGUCAAGGCCCGACCGUCUGACAAGGCGGGGUCUUCCUCCGGGACAUCCAAGUGCGAAGCCGAAGAUGACCUGGAGGCUGGGCUAGCACCACCGCCGAAGAAGAAGUGCACUGUUGCCGUCAAGCACGUGGUGAAGAAGCCGCCCACCGCUAAUGAAGUCCGUCCUCCGAUAAUCACAUACGAAGAAGGACAAGAUCGUGAGGAUCGAGUACUCGUAAGUUGUUUCCUUUAUCGCCAUGCCUAACUUGAUUCUGACAUUGAUGAUUUGCAGGUAGUCAGAGGGGAGACAAAGGUAGAGAAGACGGCUGCAGAAGUCAUGCAGCAGGAGCUGCCGGUGAUCAAGGAGGUCAUCGAGCUAGAAGAUGACGAGAAGCCUCUUGUCACCAGGGCCAACCCCAUCCUUGCGCAGACUACUCAAAUGGUGGAGACGACAUCCAAGUCUAGUGAAGAUAAAACUGCAAUCCAACAAGCCACGCCAAAGAAAGCGUUGCUCACUACCAAGUCCUUGAGCCUGGGGGGAGAGCCCUCCUUGAAGAUAAGGCGAUCCACAAAGUAAGUACUGGACUGUUAUCAGAGUACUGAUUGUGACUUGGUGUUGUCUUGUAGUGUGUAUUGACACUUGUCUUGUGCAGAUAUUCCACCAGCGUGGACAUUGGAGGUCCAGGCCCGAAGUCUACGGCUGAUGGCAGCAGCUGCUCAGUCCAAAACCUCACCCCGGCACCUACAACUCCACCGCCAGAGGAGCAACCUGCAUCAGAAGUAGCUCCAGGUGUUGUAUCCCUUAUUGCUGUGCUUGUGCAUGAUGUUAUUGCAUCACUAAAUGUUGUUGUAGUGCCAGCCCUCGAGCUGCCAGUAGUUGAGCCCAUCACGGCGACUACUUCUGCUGUGGUGGCUACAUUGGUAGUCCCCGAGCCAGAGGCGAAGAUCAAGAUGGAAGUAGCAAGUACUUCUGGAGCUGAGGCUACACUUGUAGCCCCCGAGCCAGAAGUGGAGGUUGAAGCUGCCGGGGCUCUGCAAGUGUUGGCUGUCAUCCCACCGUCUGAGGCGGGAUCGUCUACCAACAGCGGCAUGACUUCUCACUUAUCUUCUGAAGCUGGUCCUUCAACUACCCGAGCACUGGUUCCUCUUGGUGCCCCAAUCGCCGAAGAGCACAAGGAACCGUGGAUAGCUGAAGGGGUGGAUCUAGAGAAGAUCCAGCUUCUUGCUGACCCUCUGACCACCGUGGAGAUGGAGGCCACGGUCAUGGAGAUGCACCGCUACUCAUGAAGUACGACGGCCAAGCUACCGAGUAUUGUAACCUCGUCCAACAAGCCGCGAAGGGGAAGGACUGCCUCCGGUAGCACAACAAGGCAUUGAAGAAUCGAUUGGAUGGUAUCUUGUCACCUCCCGCUGGUUUCUAAGUACCAAUUUGCGCUUCAGUUUCCUCUCCUUCUACGUUAGAGGUGAGCUCAUCCUGCGAGACAUCGUCUAGAUGACGUUUGCAUCAUGGAUUUCUUUCUGGUAGUUCUUCACCAUCAUUUUCUUAUGCAGCAACGAUAGCGAGGAGUUCCUGCUCUAGAGAAAAACUACCCGAACUUGAUGUAAUGAUCUCUGUGGGGCCGUCUUCCUCGUAGAUGGGCGACAGAGGAGUUCCCUCCUGGUAUGGGAGAGUUUCAAGGUAGACGACAAGGCGUGACUCGUCGUCCUUGGUGAGAGCGGGUGGCUUCAUGUUGGGCAAUAGACGAAUCUGCCUUGUGGAGUAUAUUUGAUAACCAAACCCUGCUGUGGACCUGAUAAUGGAAUCUCCUCGUCCGGAUCCGAGUAAUAGUCGGGGUCCUCGAUCAAAUCCGAGUUGGAUUGCGAUUUGGAUAGGGUAGCUUGGUAGGCAGCACCCGAGCUUCGAAGUCCGAACGGGAAUCGACUUGUGUUGUAGAUCGAUUCACAUGAUGGCUUAAGCACCAGCUCGUGGGAACCAGUCCAACUGGUGAGAGAAGUCGAAUUGUACUCGGACUCGUCCCUUGAGCCUUGGAAGAGGUUGAAAAUUUCGUUGAAUUUUUCAACGAAAUCCUCCAAAGCUUGGCGAUGAAGGUUGAUGUCAUACUGCUUCUCCUCCAGGGCCAGCGCGAUGUGGCGGUGGAAAUUUCCAGUGCCGCGUGUGAUGCAAACCCAGGAACCGAAGAUGAAUGUCGCGCCCACUCCUAACACAACGGUGCGCUUGAUGAUGACUUGAGCCAUCGAGUUUGCCAGCGGAUCUUUAGCGAGACCCCUACCUAGCGCGCCAGCUGUUGGUGUUUAGACCCCGCAACCUACCGAGGGUGUACUCGAGGUAGUGUUAUUAUGCGUGGGGCUCGCUGAGAUUAGAAACUCAAAGGUAAACUUGAACACACGAUUUAGAUAGGUUCGAGCCGCUUAUGUCGCGUAAUACCUUACGUCCUGUGUGUUGGUUGUGUUGUAUUGAUUGAACUUGUUUGGAGGAGGUCCGUGUCUCGCCUUAUACUGCCGGAGGCAGGGUUACAGGUCGGUUGUUUACCAGAAUACUAGUCAAAUUCGACUAAAGAGUCAUACUCUAAUUGCUACGAGUAGUUUCCUAAUCCUCGACUAGUUCUUGUCCUCCACGUAGACCACGCCGUCUUGCACCGUAGUCUCCAUAUCUGAUACAUCUUAGUGUACAACCUCGUAUGUAGGACUGUCCGAGCCUUCUAGUGGGCCCAUAGAUGUAUAGAUGACACAUCCCCCGCGCUAACAUUAGUGGCAGCUAGGAAGUUGAUAAAAAUGGCACCAAUUACAACAUAUUGCUUCCAUUAGCGAGGGAACAUUUAAAAUCAAAAUAAUAAUUAUCAGAUUAGCAUCUCCCCUUCGUCCACAAAAUAGUAAUGGAGCUAGAUCUUCAACUGAAUGUCUCAAUGUUUUGUCAACAAGUUGGGUUUCUUUUGAGGUGCAAAUUGUACAGGAAUGAUCAAUCCGAUUUGGUUUUUCGAUGAACUAAUCCAACUGAUUGGAAGAGACUACUUACUGACCGGACUAAAAUGACUUGCUACCGCACUACACUGUAAAAAAAGAGGUUCAUGAAGAAAUUGAUGCCUAUCAGGUCGAUGUCCCACCACGACAACCUUGACUCGACGAUACAACUAACGAGAAAACACCAAAAAUAAAAUUCCUUACCAUCCAAAUCAUCACGAAUCGAGAUCCCAGCCACCCAAUUCGAAAUCCCGAAGCAGGAAUCGAGAUCCCGGUCACCCAAAUCGAAAUCCAAGCAGCUAGAAUCGAGGUCGAUUUGGCAGGAGUUGCUUGUGCCCAAAUCGACUUCCUUGUUGCUGAAUGGAAGUUUGCCGCAACCCAAAUUGAGUUUUGUGCCGUCGCUUCCUGCAUCUAAAUCGAUCUCCUCACAGCAUAGGCCAGGCGAGCAACUUCCAGCAGAGGAGAAAGAAUGGGAGGAACGGGGCUGACGGACGGCGCCACUCGUGGCGUGUCCAUGUGGAGCUGGGACGGAAAAAAAAAAGAAAGAGGGCCCGGCCCCUGGAGAGGAGCGAUUUGAUGGCCUCCACGUGUUCGGAGACACGGAUGGAGACACGUUAAGGGAACACGGAAGCUGCAGCCAGGAGCGCGCCGUCGCCUCGCGAGAGGACGGCAGGGGCUCGUGUUCCCAAGUUUAAUCGCCCGCUCGUGCUCCGUUGUACGACCCCAUUCUCGGAGACGACGACGACGAGCGAUCCUGUGCGGCGAGCCGGCGAGGUUCUCCAAGAUUUGGCGCGGAAACAUGGCGGCAAAAGUCUAUCCCCGCGCCAUUUUCCCUUCCCCUCCACCUCCCCAAUCUGUUCCCAAUCCUGCAAAGCCAGCAACCAUGCGGCGACAGCGGCGGGAUGCAGCGGCAACGCGAGAUCUGCUGGAAGCGGCGCCGGCACGGGAGAGGAAAGGUGCUGCGGCAAGGGAGCGGAAGGCCGAGGUAAGGACCCUUGAGGAGAAUGGCCCUGCAGCGGAAGGGUGCAGUACGGGCGGAAGGAGCUGCCCCCGUUCAAUCCGCGUCAUCCUUCACCGACGACGUGAGGCACAUCCUCACAGUCACCGGCGCUCCCGCCUCCAGAUGCGGCGGCAUGCUGGAGCGGAAGGUUGCGAUGACGGCUGGAAAGCGGAAGGGCUCGCUCAAUAGCGGUGUUGUUAAUUUCCGGCUCUGUUCUGUUGCUUCCCUCCACGGAUGGAUUGGGUGCGGCAAGAUGGAGAGCGUGGCGAAGGGAAGCACGGCGGCGGGUUGCUGGAAGCCAGGAUCUAGCCCCAGUCGGUGUUCAGCUUCAUUACUGAUCUCCCCCAGUCCAUGCUUGCUUCUCUGAAUGUCCGUGUUGCUUGCUUCUUUGUUUACUUAAACGUCACUAAUGCAAAUGUAGAGAGCGAAGAUCGUGCAGAUCUUCUCUUUUCCAAUUUCUUAAUUUUUUUCCUGGUGUUUACAAAUCUGAAACGUAGACCUGUGUUUUUUUGUUUCAUGAGAUUCAGAACAUGAUGAAAUAUUAAGCAAGUUGAAAUCAUGACCUUUUGAUGACAGUCAAGCAUUAUGCUACUAAUAUCAUUUUUUUACAGUUCCAUAUGUAGAUAAUAGCAACGUAAUAUCAGUUCGAGUUCUCUGGUAGCAUGCUCCUGAUAUUCUAAUAACCUUGGUCAGUUUAACACAUGCUAGUAUUGCCAUUGAUUUUCACAGGCACAGUUGCUGAGCACUAGGGUCUACUACUAUCUGAUUCUUGUUAGGCUCACAAACUUCAAAUUCUGCCACUGAAUAUGUCUGCUAUGUACACGAACUAUAACUAUGAAUGUUUAGACUUCACAUUGCAGAUUUGGUCUGAAUGCUUUGACUAGCAAGGAGGAAGCCAAGGGAGGACCUGCUGUUGCAGCGCACUAUUAUGUCUGUCAGUUUUUCAUGUGAAUGUGCCGAAGUGUGAAUAGAUGCGAACAUGUGUCAAACUAGCAACAAAAUGACAUGCAAAGAUCAAAUAUAUAGUUGAUCGCCAUGUUAACUGUCUCUUUGGCUGCCUGUACGUGAUUGGCUGCCUGUACGUGAUGUGGCAUGUGUUCGCAGACAAUAACCACAUGCACUAAUGACAUGACUUUCCUUUUACAGUUUUACAGUAUCUUUUUUCAAAAAAUUUCUAAACAGUACAUAAAUACUCACAUGCAUGCAUGCGACCAUAGUAUGCACGAAAACACUUGCACACACAGAGAUGGCAACGGGGAAAACGCUCCCCCAUCCCCGUGGGGAAGAAAAAUCCCCAUCCCCGCCCCCGUGAACGCUCGUGGGGAACGUUUCCUUCCCAUCCCCGUCCCCGCACGGGGAAUUUGUCCCCGACGGGUCCCGUCCCGCAAAUUACCGACUUUUUUGUAUUUUGGCUCUUUUUACGAAAAAAUCUCACAAAUAGGCCCCUGGCGAAACCAAUUCCGAAAAUGGACCCUCAGCUUGGCGCCAGGUAUAACGUCUUGGCGCCAGCCAUCCUGGCGCCAAGGUCCCUAUGCCGCGCCUCCGACGUGGCGCCGGCCCGCUGACGUGGCGCGGAGGCUUGGCGCCAAGAUCCAUGGCGCCGAGCCUCGGCGCCAAGAUCUGUGGCGCCAAGGCUCGGCGCCACCGUCGCUGGCGCCAAGCCUUGGCACCAUAGAUCUUGGCGCCGAGGCUCGGCGCCAGCCUCCCUAGCGCCAAGCCCCCUACCAUAUAUAAUGCCCCUUCUUCCUGCCCGAGAGUUCCUCCUCAUUAUUCUCCACUCUCUCGGGUUUUUACUCUCCCUACUUUGCCCUAGACUACGAAUCGACAUUGUAGCUUAGGAAACUUUCAUUUGAUCCGUGGAUCCUGAAGAGCAAGGUAUCCUCUCUCCGUCGUACCUUUUUUUUCACAUCGAUUUGCUAUAUAUUUCUUGCAUUUUUGAACUUAGGGUUUCAUGCAAAUGUAGGAUGCCGAGGCGUGGAAAAGCUAAGAAACUAAGGUAAUCUCAACGCCCGUAGUUAUGUUAUAUACUCAUUGUUGUGGAUCAAAUGAAAAAACCUUAAUUGUAGGUUUAUUCUUAAGUGCGUUUGAUUCAUAGAACCAAAUAAACAAAAUUGUAGUUAUGGCGCAAAGAAGACCGGAAAUGCGUUCGAUCCAUUGCCUCUGCCUAGUGGUGUUCCAGUGCCGAUGUGCUUUUGCGGCGAUCCUUGCAAGGUAGCGAAGUCCGAAGAACAUGCCACGUAUAGGCAGAGGUAUUGGAUGUGUUCCAACUUUGCGUUUGAACCUACACUUCGUCAGCGCCGCAUUAACAUGUUGGUAAGGAAAUGUUGUUGUCUUAUAAUUAUUGUCCAUAAUUUUUUUGUUAUAUAACAAUUGCAUUUGUUGUAGACCCCUCCACCGCUAUGUGAUUUUGAGCAGUGGAUCGACACUGAGAUCGAUCCUGAAGACAAGGAGUUUUUGGAGUAUAUGAUGCGCUGGGAUGCAGAGAGGAAGGAGGUGUACGAGAAGAGGCUCGUAGAGGAGGCUGCGGAAAAGGAGCACAAGGAAGAGGAGGAAAGGAGGCGGGUUGCUGCGAACAGGGAGGAGAGAGAGAAGAAGCUUGAGCAGGCACGCCGAGCGAAAGCAGCGGUUGAGGAGAAUCCCGAUGCCUUAAGGAAGGGAAAGUGGCCUCGUUGCACUCAGUAGCCAUAUUUAGGUUCUAGUUCUAUGGUUUAUUUAUGAACAAUAUUUUCUACUGUGAGACUUUUAUUAUGUUGUCAUGUAAUAAUGCACUUUAAGUAAGGACACGCAAUUUGUAGACGACAUAUGUUCAUUUUGCGAUGUAAUGCAUUUCGAAGUCGUAGUCUACUAAAAUAUCCGUAGAAAAUAAAAAUGGUACUUGUUAGCGAAAUUUCGGCAGAAUUUCCCCUACUUGUUGAUGCAAUCCAUACAAAAUUACGAGAUGAAUAGUGAAUAUAAAUACAAGCAUAGAAACAUAGAAGCAUAUGACACAAGCAUAUGACACAUUCAGAAUAGAAUCCACAAUAGUUCAGAAUGAAAGUCCUUAUAUAUACAAAUAGUCCAUAUGAUACAAAGUUCGCAAUCAGAGUCGUCACUGCCUCCUAGUCUUACCCUUACCCUUGUGACCAAGGGUGUCGAUGCCUGGAGUGUAAGGAGAACGUGGACGACGUAGUCUAGUGCCCCCUACAAUCUGUGUAGGCUGAGUCAAGGGAGCCUCCUGGAGCUGAGACGGGCCAAUCUCCUCGGCCCUCUGCUCAUCGUCGUCGUCAUCGUCAUCGUCAUCGUCGUCGUCGUCGACUUCCUCGGAUGCAAUUGAUUUCGAACCUGAGGGGCCUUGGCUGGACGCCUCCUUCGCGCAGGGAUGGAACGUGCACGUCUCGCGUCGUGGCAGUCCUGCAACCACAACGAGCAGCGGCACGGCGAAGCCGAUUUGACAAUCGCUGCAGUAGUAAAAACAAGUUACACAAAUGAAGAAUGUAACGUAUUAAUAAAGUAUUAGAAAGAAUAAUUUGAGACUUACCUCUAGGAAGCUCCGCGUCUCGGGGUCCCUAACUCGUGGACGGAAUUGCUCUAUAUCUCUAACCGAGCUUUGUAGGGUACGCCCCUGCAACAAAUGACUAAGUCACUAAAGCAACAAAUGACUAAGUCACUAAAUGACUAAAUGAUUAAGUCAGAUGAUCACUAAGUCCUUAUCUAACUAACUAAAUCUCUAAGUAACCUAACAUAGAAUAUAGAAAAGUGAAGCAAUUGUCUUACCAUCCUAUCCAGGAUUGGUCCUACCUCCACCUGCCUUCCAGCACGAGUACUCUGAUCGUACACCGUGUCUUCAUCGUCGGAUGAGUGGAUAUCGGCAUAGUCAUCUUCCGUCCACACUUCCCUCAGCCUGUGCCGCGUCGCACCUUGGUACCAGCUCUGGUAUUGCCUGUACGCACUGUUUGUGUGCGGCUCGUUGUUCUCGUCCAAGUUCUGCUCGAACUGCUCCCAUUCCUGAAUGUACGCGUGGUGGAACGCGGGCCACUCGGAGACCUUCCGCUUCUUCUUUCGAUCCACGCUGCACGUCACGUUACACGUUACUGUUAGCCAAAAUUUAGUUAAUAGUAUUGAAAUAUAUGAAAAAGGAAAAGACUUACUUGUGUAACUCUAUACUAGUCGAGGUCGCCUGUGGUGGCCAAAUCUGCCUCAUCCCAAAUUGACGUGCUACUCGAUGUGGCAGGUGGUACUCGACAGCAUAGAAGCAAAUAAGAGGGCACACCAUCCUAUAAAUAUCAUCGUCCGUCGCACACACGAAGCUAAGGGGAAAAGGAAGUGGAUCGUCUCCGUCGUAAGGCUGCCAAUUUACCUGCAAAAUUUGAAUAAAAAACGUUAGUUGUUAUACUAAAAGAUUACAAAGCAUGUUUAAAAAAAAUUCACUUACACUAUGAGCAGUGAGCGCGUCUAUCUCGUUGAUGUAAUCCAGGUACGCGCGGUCCAACCUCGUAUGGCUAACCUUAACCUGAUCCCAAAUAUAUGCCCAUGUCGGCUGUCGUCUCGGCGGCUCACCUGGGAACCACGGUCGACGCGGCAUAAUCUCGGGCCGACCAACAGGAAGACGGGACCACAUCCAUAAUUCCAACAGGUAGACACACCCACCAACUGACGGGGAGCCCGAAGUCCGACGGCACGCCUCGCACAGCUGCCGGUAUAGAAAGCACAACACAGCUGAUCCCCAGCUGUAAAAACCAGCCUGGUGCCAGUCAGUGAGGCAGUGGAUCCACAUCCAAGACGCAGUGUCACCUGUAGCGUCUGGGAAAAGAACACAGGCAAAGAGGUGUAGUAUCCACGCCCUGCAGUAGUGUCCAACUGUCUCAGCAUCCGCGUCCUGGGGGCACUGGCCGAAGUGUUCCCGCAGCCAUGAGAUUAGCACUCCAGAUGUGCGAGUCCCCUGCUCCUCAACCUCUCGCCCCAGGAAGGCUGCGACUCGUGCUCUCCAACCAUCUGAGACGCACGGCCCAGUGACUGGCUGGCCCCGAAUCGACAGACCCAGCAUCUUCUGACAGUCCUGUAGGGUCACUGUCAUCUCUCCGAACGGGAGGUGAAAGCUGUGAGUCUCGGGUCGCCACCUACAUUUCGCCGGAUUAUUAUUUGAUAACAUGUAAAGACAUAACAAAAUGAAUAUGAUUAGUGGUAACAGUACCUGUCAACCAACGCAGUUAUAGCCGCUGAAUUGAACUUGGGCAUCCCACGACGAACCUUAUACGAGAUGACAUCUAGGCCAGCCAUCUGUAGCAAAGGAGUGUAGCGGUCGUCGUACUGCAGCGCCAAAAACCCAUCAUGGGCUCUAGAACGAAGGAGCGGAAGGACCUGCAUGCAAAUAAACCGAGUCAGAGAUUUCAUAGGACACAAGACGUGGACGCUCGCAAAGCUUUAAUCAUGAAUUGUAAAUUAUUACCUGCCCUCCCGCUAUGAGACGACCUCGGUGGGUCUGGUCGUACGCCUGGUCUAGAAGGUGGAAGUGCGCCAUCCUACAAAAAGGCAAAAAGAAAUAAGAUUAGUAAACAAUAAAUCAUGAAGUUAGAGAUGUAGAAACACAACCUGUAUGAAUAAAACACAUAUCAAGUAACGAAAAGAGCUACUAGUCGCACCUCACUAAUUUGCCAACGGCAAGUGCGUGAAUUAUGACCCAAUCUGCCGCACUUGCCGCACUCGUUCUGUUCUGGAUCAGCAAGAAAUGGUGUUGCUCUACCACGCCUCGUUCUUCCGGAUACCUGAUCCAUAGUCAUGUUAUGCCUCGUCCGCUUCCUUGUUCCACGUUUGUUCCAACGGUAUGCAGGAUCCGCAACAUAUUUUGGCCCAUCAUAUGGAGGCCACUCUCUAGGAUCCCGGAAAGGCACGAAGCGGGGGCUCCAUGUCCGCACAAGGGUGCCUACGCUGAACUCAUGUGGUAUCAUGCUCUCGAUAUCAAAAUUGCGAUGCCUAGCUGCUGCCACCAAAUGAGAACAUACGAAGUGGUACUGCCUUGGCCUACCACAAGUGCACUUGAAAUCUCGGAGAACUACCACAUGUAUCCUCGACUCUCGGAUCUCACCGUCGGACGUUGUACCGCCCCUAUGCUCCACCUGAUAAGUCCCUGAGCCGAGAUCAAAACAUUGCACCUCAUGUGUGGAAGCCCUUUCAUUUGCAAUGAUGAGAUGUCUCUUUGGUUUUUCAGCCCAUCUCUCCCCAGCAAUCUGCAACGCUUCUGCUUUUGCGUGUCUUUUAUUGAACCACGCAACAAGCCUGUAGAAGGUGAAUUCAACGAUUGCGUUCACAGGCAUACCACGUAUCCCCAAUAACAAUUUAUUGAAUGACUCGGCCAUGUUACUGCACUGAAACUCGUACCUCCAACCACCGGCGUCGUGAGAUCUAGUCCACUUAUCUAAAUCUCUCAUCAAACCAGCAAGCCAUUGUCGACCUUCUGCAUUUGUUGCGGUCCUUACCUGCUCCAAUUUGCGCUGAAAGUAAUAGUCCUCAAGCUGAUGUGCUGCAACUUGAAACAGAUCAAAAUUAUCCUUCACACCAUCCUUCCGAAGAAGGUUCUCCGCAAGGUGCCGAGUGCACCAACGAUGAUGCAAAGGUGCAUAACCCUCUAUCUGUUCUUGCACAGCAUGAAGUAUGCCCUGAUGCCUAUCGGAUAUGACGCCAACCUCACUACUAGGACCAACCACAUGUAUCCGGACUAGUCUUAAGAACCACCCCCAACUGUCAUUGUUCUCCCUCUCAACCAAUGCAAAUGCCAAAGGAACCAACAUAUUGUUCGCGUCACAAGAUAUGGCUAUAAGAAGUGUGCCUCUAUAUUUGCCAAUCAAAAACGUACCAUCAAUAGAGAAAACAGGACGACAGUGCCUAAAGGCUUCCACAGACUGAGGGAAGCACCAGAACGCACGCUCGAAUAUCUGCCUCCCGUCCUUCCAAGCAUUUGGCUUUGGGAUGUACUCAUAAUGCAUGCCUGGAUUCACCGCUUUAAUUGCAUUAAAAAGAACUGGCAGCUGCUCGUACCCAGACUCCCAAUCCCCAUAAAUCAUCCUCCACGCUCGCUGCUUAGCCCUCCAAGCUUUACCAUAAGUUAUCACAUAUCCUCCAUAAAUCUCCUCAACAGUUCUUAUAAUUGUUCUCACUUUCAUGUUGGGUUGUUCCUUCAAUAUUCCCAUCAAUCGCUUCGCAAUGAGGGUAGAUGUUAGCUGCGGAUGUCUCACUGUAAGCUCAUGGUCAGCACAAUUGUGUGGACCGACAACUUUUGUGAUCUUCCACUUCCCGGUGAUAUUUUGCUUUCUUGCACAAACCCUCCAUGGACACCGUUCCUUGUCACACACAACUGUGUAACGGCGCUCCGCAUAUGAAUGCAACACUUUGUAUGGUCUCUUCCGUAUCACCGCAAAGGCUUGCAACCAUCUCUUCAAUGCGGGAAGGUCCUUAAAUACCCUACCCUCCUCAAUAACCAUACUAGGACCAGCUUCAGGAGCUUCUAGGAGCUCAUCAUCAUGUCCUUCUGCAAACGCCUGAUCGGAAAGAGUCAGGUCGCUAAACUCGUGAACUAUCGGAUCACGACGUCCGGGGAAUAUACGCCUGAACAUCUCAAUAUCACUCUCUGUCAUCUCUCCAACAGGACGAUCAUCAUCAGAAUCAAGAUCCACUCCCAUCUCGUAUGCAUCUUCAUCAUUCAAAACUUCAACACUAUUAGAGCCACGCAAUCCAUCUCCACAUUGCACUUGCGCAUCAACUAGAGGCACAUCCACAUUUUCUGGAAUAUCUCCUGCGCCAUCAAGUACAAAUAUGAGUAAAGAAUAAGUGGAUGGAACGAAUGGAUUAUCUCGUAUCAAUAGAAACCGGUGAGACACUUACUCGGAUCAUUCUGAGUGAAAAGGAACUCAUUAGGAGAGUCCGCCACAUCAUCAACAAUCCGACAACCAUGUCCAACUACUUCAUUAGGGGCAGAUUCAGCAUUGGGAAUAGUAGGUGCAACAUCCACGUCCAUAAUAGGUUCUGGGACGGGAGGAUCGAAAUGUGCCCGUUGACCCAUUGGUCGGGAAAACCGACGAGGAUUUCGAUCAACUCCGACCGGACGAACAACCACUUCAACACUUGGGGAAUGACCAUUCAUAACCGUCCUCACAUAUUUCUCCCACUGACCUGCACACCGAAUUGGGACCAUCUUCCUUUGAAUGUUGAGAGGGGAACCUAGGUGAAGUAUGCCCUCGACUGUGAUUUCAUCAUUUUCAUGACAAUGUAACUCCUCCCGAGCCCUUGCAACCAACUCACUAAACGAUGGUUUCUCAUCGAAUAUGACAACCUCGUACUGCAUGCCAACAAACUUAACACAUCCAUAUUCAUCCCUUUCCACAGUGCCUCCGUAAUAUAUGCUCACUACGUUCUCCAUCUAGUAUAUCAAUAUAACGACGCACAAUUCAUUUAGUCCAUAAUAAAUUAAACAUUCUAAGUCUACUAAAUACAACUAACUAACUAUGUCACAUAUACUAACUAACUAUGACACCUAAUAUGUACCUACAUACUUACCUAUACAACUACUUAACUAAAUAUCGUAAUAACUAGUUUACUAUGCUAUUAGUUAUCAUAUCUAACAAUUUACUUAACUAAAUAUCGUAAUAACUAGUUUACUAUGCUAUUAGUUAUCAUAUCUAACAAUUAUAUCUAUCUGUCAACUUAUCUAUCUACCUAUUUUAUCUAACAAUUCUACCUAUCUAUCUAAAUUUUACCUAACUAUUCUAAUUUAUCAAUAUUACUAUUUUACCUAAACCUAUCUAUCUACAUUGUAUUACAACAAUUACCUUCGAUCGGUCGGGAGCGGCCACAGGACGGGGAGCGGCCGCCCUCAGGCAACGGCGGGCGGAGCCCGGCCGGAGGGCACCGGCGAGCGGGGAGGCGCGGCUCGGGCCGGGCGCCUCCGGGCGGAGCUGUGCCGGGGCGGCGCGCGGCAGGCCUCCGGGCGAGCCGACCGGGGUGGCGCGCGGCGAGCCGCUCCUGGCGCCGGGCGGGGGCGCGACGGGGCGGGCUGAGGCGGCGCGCGGGGGCCGCCGGGAAGCCGGCCGGGGGCGGCGCACGAGCGCCGACGGGGCGGCGCAGGCCGCCGGGCGGGCGGCGCGUGGGCGCGGGCCGCCGGGCGAGGCGGCGGCCGGGCAGGGCGGCGACGGCGCGUACGGCUCGGGCGGCGGCGGACUGGACUGGACUGGAGCGCGAUAGGUUGGUUUCGAGAUGCAAAAACAAACUGCCCAGAAGGAAGGCCGCCGAUAUGGUUGAAGGCUUGGCGCCAGGGAGGCUGGCGCCGAGCCUCGGCGCCAAGAUCUGUGGCGUCAAGUCUCGGCAUCACGAUCUGUGGCGCCAAGCCUUGACGCCACAGAUGCCUGACGCCAAGCUGAGGGUCCAUUUUCGGAAUUGGUUUCGCCAGGGGCUUAUUUGUGAGAUUUUUUCGCGAAAAGGAUAAACAAGUCGAAUCAAGAAACAAGUCCGCAACUAUUACAUCACCGUAUAGCACAGUUUAAUAAUCAAGAGAAUCAAAUCUAAGCUGUUUUCAACACAACAGCGUCGUACAACGCCACUACCACAAGCCAAACUCUGUUUCUCACCCUUCCUUGUCGUCGUGAUGCUAUGUUGGAGCUCGUGGGCGCGGAAGACAAAGCUGUACAGCUAGUGUUGUUGAUACGUAGACGUCAGCUGUGGAUUCGUCGAUGGCCGCGGACGGAGCGUCACCCAAAUCUUGCGCGGCGCCGUGGCAGUCUUCGGCCUGUGUCACGGACUCGUGGCCUCCUGCGCGCGACCGCGCGUGCAGCAGAAGUUUGGGCGCGGGACGGCAGGGUCUGGGCGCGGGACGGCAGGGUCUGGGCGCCAGCCGCGCGGGGUCCGGCCGUCCGGGGCUCCGGGGUUCGGGCGCAGGAGGCUGGGGCCUGGGGGUGGCCGGCCGGCGGCGGCUAGGAAGGAAAGGGGAUGAGGGACUGAGGAACGGAUGAUGGAUGGAGUGAGUCUAGGGUUUGGAAUUUCUCAGCUGGUUAUUAUAACCUCUCGUAUUGGGCCUCGUUUUGAUGGGCUGCUAGGCCGAAUUAUGAACUCCUGCUGAAAUUAGUCGGGGAUGCAGGGAGACGGGGACGGGGACGGGGACGGUGAAUCAUCCCAUUUAAUUCUCUGUGGGGAUCAAUUCC